UGGAGAAUUGAAUACCCUUAAUGC
RNAcentral lists this non-coding RNA (24 nucleotides) under Rattus norvegicus (Norway rat). The record is from RNAcentral. Lineage: Eukaryota; Metazoa; Chordata; Mammalia; Rodentia; Muridae.